Molecule: long non-coding RNA, 525 nt
Organism: Leptinotarsa decemlineata (Colorado potato beetle)
Lineage: Eukaryota; Metazoa; Arthropoda; Insecta; Coleoptera; Chrysomelidae
Source: RefSeq, a predicted model, not a curated record
AUGUCUGGAGCAGGAUGCUAAAUAUAGUAGUUACGAUCUGUGAUUCUGUGACAUUUAUUUCUUCACGUCUCUUUUAGACGCCGUUCUUCGUUAUAUGAGGUUCAGUGUUGGGUUGACGGUCGAAAUAUGAAAUUGUCUCAGGCCGCCUGCAUUGUCCUUCGCGUAACAGUUCCACAGAGGACGAUCAGACCCUCUACUAAGGAAGUGGACAAAUACCCAAAGUCCGCUUUUGUGGUCGCAGCAUUAGGAUUUUCACUUUCUUCCUACAGCCUGAAGAAACUGAUAGAAAGCAAACGAGCGAUGAAGUAGUCUUUUUAAGAAAAGGAUUUUUAAAAAGUGUCAGUCUUUUUUACUGACUAGAGGAUCUCGACUUACGUAAAAUGUUCAUUAUGUGCAACUUUAACCAAAUUCCUAUAUUUGCGUACAAAAAAUAUUAUUUCAAAUUCAUUUUCACUAUCAAUUUAUCCGAUAUUGUCAAUAGCUAGAUGUAAGUAAUAAAUAAAUUUGUGAGUUUUUGUCUUCUAA